AUUGAACGCUGGCGGCAGGCCUAACACAUGCAAGUCGAGCGGAGGAAGGGAGCUUGCUCUGGGAUCCGGCGGGGGAGGGGGGGGAAAGGCCUAGAAACCUCCCGGGCAUGGGGGGAAAAGGUCCGGAAAGGGGGCCAAAUACGCCAAACGCCCGGAGGGGGAAAGGGGGGGAGCUUGGGACCUACCGCAAUCGGAGGGCCCUAGGCGGGUUUGGCUAGUUGGUGGGGUAAGGGCCAACAAAGGCGACGAUCCGUAACUGGUCUGAGAGGAUGAUCAGUCACACUGGAACUGAGACACGGUCCAGACUCCUACGGGAGGCAGCAGUGGGGAAUAUUGGACAAUGGGCGAAAGCCUGAUCCAGCCAUGCCGCGUGUGUGAAGAAGGUCUUCGGAUUGUAAAGCACUUUAAGUUGGGAGGAAGGGCAGUAAGUUAAUACCUUGCUGUUUUGACGUUACCAACAGAAUAAGCACCGGCUAACUUCGUG
This 484-nucleotide ribosomal RNA is filed under the name uncultured bacterium. Its description in RNAcentral is "partial 16S ribosomal RNA". It matches the Rfam family "Bacterial small subunit ribosomal RNA", at positions 29 to 507 of the family's 1533-position model. The record is from RNAcentral.